CGUCUAUAUACGUAUAGCAUAUCAAUAAGCGGAGGAAAAGAAACUAACAAGGAUUCCCUUAGUAACGGCGAGUGAAGCGGGAAGAGCUCAAAUUUGAAAUCUUCAAGGUUCUACCUUGUACGAAUUGUAGUUUAAAGAAGUGUUUUCUGUUAGAGGAGUAGCAAAAGUUCCUUGGAAUAGGGACAUCAUAGAGGGUGAGAAUCCCGUAUUUGGACCAUUAUUUUCUAGCUGUGUGAUACACUUUCAAAGAGUCGGAUUGUUUGGGAAUGCAGUCCAAAAUGGGUGGUAAAUUUCAUCUAAAGCUAAAUAUUGGCGAGAGACCAAUAGCGAACAAGUACCGUGAGGGAAAGAUGAAAAGAACUUUGAAAAGAGAGUUAAACAGUACGUGAAAUUGUCAAAAGGGAAGCGUUUGACACCAGUGUUGUUUUUCCGAAAAUCAAUUAAGAAUGGCUUGAUUUUGUGUUGUAUUGACCUUAUCAGCUUUCUUCACUCUUUUUCGAGUCUUUCUUAAUGCACUUUUCGGUUAACAAGUCAACAUCAAUUUCUUUUGUUGUAAAAGGGUAUUUGGAAGGUGGCUUUCUUUUCGGAGAAAGUGUUUAUAGCCUUAUACCUCUACAAUCGGAGAGAUUGAGGUCUGCAGCGUAGAUCCUUCGGGGCUAGAUACACUUGUGCUAAGUUAUAGCUUUUCAUAGACAACUUGUUGACUAUGUUUAGUCAUGUAGCUUACCCGCUUGUGCUAUUUUACCUACGCUUAGGAUGUUGAGUCAUCACACAUCUCU
Molecule: ribosomal RNA, 779 nt
Filed under: uncultured Neocallimastigales
Lineage: Eukaryota; Fungi; Neocallimastigomycota; Neocallimastigomycetes; Neocallimastigales
Description: partial large subunit ribosomal RNA
Rfam family: Eukaryotic large subunit ribosomal RNA
Source: RNAcentral